RNAcentral lists this ribosomal RNA (468 nucleotides) under uncultured bacterium. RNAcentral describes it as "partial 16S ribosomal RNA". It matches the Rfam family "Bacterial small subunit ribosomal RNA", at positions 28 to 507 of the family's 1533-position model. The record is from RNAcentral.
GACGAACGCUGGCGGCGUGCUUAACACAUGCAAGUCGAACGGAAAGGCCCUGCUUUUGUGGGGUGCUCGAGUGGCGAACGGGUGAGUAACACGUGAGUAACCUGCCCUUGACUUUGGGAUAACUUCAGGAAGCUGGGGCUAAUACCGGAUAGGAGCUCCUGCUGCAUGGUGGGGGUUGGAAAGUUUCGGCGGUUGGGGAUGGACUCGCGGCUUAUCAGCUCGUUGGUGGGGUAGUGGCUUACCAAGGCUUUGACGGGUAGCCGGCCUGAGAGGGUGACCGGCCACAUUGGGACUGAGAUACGGCCCAGACUCCUACGGGAGGCAGCAGUGGGGAAUAUUGCACAAUGGGCGGAAGCCUGAUGCAGCAACGCCGCGUGCGGGAUGACGGCCUUCGGGUUGUAAACCGCUUUCACCUGUGACGAAGCGUGAGUGACGGUAAUGGGUAAAGAAGCACCGGCUAACUACGUG